Molecule: transfer RNA, 71 nt
Filed under: Candidatus Roizmanbacteria bacterium RIFCSPHIGHO2_01_FULL_39_24
Lineage: Bacteria; Candidatus Roizmaniibacteriota
Also listed under: 3 other names
Description: tRNA-Pro
Rfam family: tRNA
About the family: Transfer RNA (tRNA) molecules are approximately 80 nucleotides in length.
Source: RNAcentral
CGGGGAGUAGUAUAAUGGCAGAAUGCGCCGCUGGGGGUGGUGCGGUCCGGGUUCGAUUCCCGGCUCCCCGA